This 468-nucleotide ribosomal RNA is filed under the name uncultured bacterium. RNAcentral describes it as "partial 16S ribosomal RNA". It matches the Rfam family "Bacterial small subunit ribosomal RNA", at positions 28 to 507 of the family's 1533-position model. The record is from RNAcentral.
GACGAACGCUGGCGGCGUGCUUAACACAUGCAAGUCGAACGGAAAGGCCCUGCUUUUGUGGGGUGCUCGAGUGGCGAACGGGUGAGUAACACGUGAGUAACCUGCCCUUGACUUUGGGAUAACUUCAGGAAACUGGGGCUAAUACCGGAUAGGAGCUCCUGCUGCAUGGUGGGGGUUGGAAAGUUUCGGCGGUUGGGGAUGGACUCGCGGCUUAUCAGCUUGUUGGUGGGGUAGUGGCUUACCAAGGCUUUGACGGGUAGCCGGCCUGAGAGGGUGACCGGCCACAUUGGGACUGAGAUACGGACCAGACUCCUACGGGAGGCAGCAGUGGGGAACAUUGCACAAUGGGCGGAAGCCUGAUGCAGCAACGCCGCGUGCGGGAUGACGGCCUUCGGGUUGUAAACCGCUUUCGCCUGUGACGAAGCGUGAGUGACGGUAAUGGGUAAAGAAGCACCGGCUAACUACGUG